Non-coding RNA from Vicia faba (fava bean), 204 nucleotides. Lineage: Eukaryota; Viridiplantae; Streptophyta; Magnoliopsida; Fabales; Fabaceae. The record is from the annotation of a GenBank genome assembly.
AUGAAGAGAGUGGUGAAAAUAGAGUCAUGGCACAAAUCCAAGAAUGGGAGUGUCUUCCCUGCAAAGAAACGUUCUGUGAAACAAAUGAUAUGGAAUCAAUUUGUUGAUUUCAUAAAGGGUUCAAGUUACAACAAGGUUUCGCCACCUUCUUCUCAGUUGUCAAAGUCUAACAGUAUUGUACACCCCUAUUCUACGUCAUACUGA